Molecule: long non-coding RNA, 277 nt
Organism: Zalophus californianus (California sea lion)
Lineage: Eukaryota; Metazoa; Chordata; Mammalia; Carnivora; Otariidae
Exons: 3
Source: RefSeq, a predicted model, not a curated record
AGAUCAUGACCUGAGCCGAAGGCAGAUGCUUCACCAACUGAGCCACUCAGAGACAAGCCUCAAACGUCCCGGCAGUGCAGGCUGAGGGAACCUCACAGGAGAAUCUAAACCCACACCAACAACAACGGUCAAACUGGAAGCCGCUGUGGGUCCCGUCAGCCCUGCUCAGGAAGGCGCGGCGUUCUCACACUCGGUGGCCUUCUCUGUGAAGUUGUGUGUCUCCACUGCAAGCUGCUGUUCACACUCAGCACCCAGAGCCAGCCUGCCUCCUCUGAGC